Non-coding RNA from Lolium perenne, 3397 nucleotides. The record is from RefSeq and is a predicted model, not a curated record. NCBI's taxonomy places the organism in Eukaryota, Viridiplantae, Streptophyta, Magnoliopsida, Poales, Poaceae.
CCCCCCCACACACGCUCGUGGCUGCUCUCACACGGCGCGGCGCGCCGGCGCCCUCUGCUACGGCAAGCGCCAUGGGAGGUCGGUCCACGCGCACUUCCUUCGCAGCGCGCCUCCUGCGUGACGUACCGCCACGGUGGUGUCCACGUCGUCCGCAGGAUGUUCGACCCAAUGCCUACGAGGAACAUCUUUUCCUGGAACAUUCUUGCCCGGACGGUACGUAAGGCUGUGCGUGUGCGUCCCAGUGAAGCCGUGUAGAAGUCCAAGUUCGUGCGCACGCUGGAGGAUGCCGUCAGCCCACGCCUACGCCGGUCAGCUUGCUGUUAGGAAGAACGAUAGGGUUUGGAGCACGAUGAUCACUGGGUUGGGAUGGUGCCGGUAAUGUGUUAUGAAGCCGGUGACACGGAUGCUGCUCAUACCGUGUUUGACGAAAUGCAGCAAGGAGAUGAUGCGUGUGGAAUGCCUUGAUUGCCGGCUACGCCCGUGCCAGUUGCUUGUGUGAGGCUCAGCUCAACAGAGAGUUACAACACUUCACAUGAGGUCAUCAGAAUCAGAUGUCCAUCCACAUCUUUCCGAUUUAGAAAAGAGGUCGUCUGAUGCAUCUUUGUCCUUCCAGCCGGCUUAAAAUUUGGCUCAUCCCUCCAAACAAAUCAGAAAAAAAAAAUCUUCGCCCAUGUGCUGCUGCUUGGUCAAUGUUGCCACAUCUGAAGAUUGUUCUCCCAAGGCGCGAUCUAGAAGGAUGCGAUGUUUGUUUACUGGAGGCAGAAGAUUGCUGCUCCCAAGGCGUUUACCAAGCUCCUCCCUCGUCUCCACACCAACCGCAUCUCCCCACUAAUUUAACUCGAUCCAUCUUCCUGGAUCUGGGAGCCAAAGUAUCCUCUUCAGUACAAGACCAAAGGGGUCUGCAGGCUUCAGCUAAACCAGAUUUUUCAGACUUGGGAACAAAGGGAACACAUACAUAGAUGGAAUCCCAGGCCCACUGAGAGGCGCUGCUGGAAAUGGAUAGUGAAAAUGAUACAUGGGAGAAAAAGCUGCAUGAUCCAGGUGCAACUCCAAUGUUUAUUUUCGAUGAGUCUCCGGGCCUCGAGUGGAACAUGGGAUACGAAAUAAUCAAGGAAAUUUGUGAGGGUUUAAAUUACAUGCAGAAGGAGCGCUAUAUUAUUCAUCUGGACCUGAAACCUGAAAAUAUAUUGAUGGAUGCUACUAUGGUGCCUAAAAUUGCGGACUUUGGUUUGUCAAGGAUCUUCCGUGACAAACAAUAGCCAAUCAUCACUCAAAAUUGUCUGAGAGUACGUGGAUAUAUGCCACCAGAAUACAUAAUCCAAGGCUUAAUCACCAUCAAAGCAGACAUAUACAGCUUGGGUGUUGUAAUUACAAAGAUAUAGUCAAGGAUCAAGCCAGACAUAUACAGUUUGGGUAUUAUAAUUAUAAAGAUACAAUCAAGGAUCAAGCCAGAUAAAUACAGUUUGGGUGUUAUAAUUAUAGACAUACAUUUCAAGAUCAAAGCAAACAUAUACAGUCUGGGUGUUAUAAUUAUAAAGAUACAGUCAAUAAUAUUUGGUGGCAAGCAAUCCCGAAUCAUCAGUCAAAAUCGUCUUGGGACACAGGGAUACAUGGCACCCGAAUACAUAAUCCAAUGCGUAGUCUCCAUCAAGGCAGACAUAUACAGCUUGGAUGUUAUAAUUAUAAGGAUACAGUCAAGCAUCAAGUCGGGCAUAUACAGUUUGGGUAUUAUAAUUAUAAAGUACAGUCAAGGAUCAAGGCACAUAUACAGAUUGGGUGUUAUUAUUAUAAAAAUACAGUCAAGGAUCUUUGGUGGCAAGCAAUCCCGAAUCAUUACUCAAAAGCGUCAUAACACAGUAAGCUAUGCCUUCUUUUAUAGCAUCCUCUAUUACUUCUUGCGAUGCCUCAAAAUUUCAAACUGUACUGCAGGGGAUAUAUGGCACCAGAAUACAUAUUCGAAAGCGUAGCCUCCGUCGAGGCAGACAUAUACAAUUUGGGUGUUAUAAUUAGUGAGAUAUGGUCAAGGAUAUUUGGUGGCAAGCAAUCCUGACUCGUCACUCAAGAUCGUCUGGGAAACUAUGCCUUCUUUUAUAGCACCUUCUAUUACUUCUUGCGAUGCCAAAAACUCAGAAUACUUAAUCCAAGGCGUAGUCUCCAUCAAGGCAAAUGUAUUCUUUGGGUGUUAUAAUUAUCGAAAAAUUCACAGGUUACUAUCCCCUGAGUAUGGUUCCACAUUCUCAAUACCUUAGUGAGUACAAUAGUCCCCACAGUUUACAAGGAAAGCUUUCAAAUGGGAGUACUGUUGUGUGAAGACGCUGGCAAUUUGAAAUGGAAGUAAUGACCAACUAUUAAGGAUGCAGUUAAUUCCCCGAUGAGUGUUAAUCAAUCAACAUAGUAUGUCGCUGGGGUCAAUUUCGUGGACUGGUGGGAUGCGACCAUCGGUACUUCCCCAAUGGCGGCCCGGAUGGGCACCUGCUCGGCGAUCAUGCUCACAUCAUGGUAGUUCUGGAAGCAGUGUAAUGCUUUCAUCUUUGAUGGUGUGCGUCCUGAUCUAGGUGGCUUUCUUGACACGAUAAGGCGGAGGCCAAAUCGUGGGCAGCAGCUGGCGCUUCGGGUUUAGGGGUGCUGCUCCCCCCGACCUAGUGUGUAGAGUAUCGCAUUGUAACCGGGUGUUGCCUCUCUAGGCUUGUAUCAAACUCUUUGUAUCAAUGAAUGGCUUUUGCUUUUUCUUGAAAAAAUCAACAUAGUAUUGUUUCUAGGUUAUUGUGCUAAUGCACAACAAGUAAAGGCCGCAAGGGAAGGGAGCAAAAGAGUUAUCACAAUGGGCGAGAGAGGUCGCUCUGCUUUGAGUAUCUAUGUAAGGGAAAUCUUAAGAUGUAUCAUACUGGUAUGUGGGGGUGAUAGGAUCCAGUUGGUUUUAGUGCAGCUGAGAUCUAAUUAUUUCAUUUACCACUUUUUUGCUUUGUGUUUUACUGACAUCAUUUACUCAACCUUCUAGGAUUAUCAACCUUUAUGUUUAAUGACAGUCUAUUUUCACUAAUACAGAUGAAUCUGGUGGAUUUAGCUGGCACACACGCUAUCAAACAAUUAAAGGAAUUUGUCAGUGCUUACAUUAUCUUCACAAUGAUUGUAUUUUUCAUAUAGGUCUCAAACCCGGUAAUAUACUAUUUGAUGGGAAAAUGGUGCCAAAAAUAUUGGACUAUGAUCUUUUUUCAAGAUUCUUCAGAGAAGAAAGGACACUAACUGUCUUUUAAAAAAAUAACAAGACGAUGUAAGCGAAGUCCAUCGAGAACUCUAUUGUUGUGUGAGGUAAUAAUAAGGUUGGAAUACCUUGUGCCUUAUAUCACUAUUUUCUCAUGCAGGGCAUACAUGGUAGCGCCAAAGACGUACACAACUA